This is a long non-coding RNA of Vespula vulgaris, 812 nucleotides long. RefSeq lists it as uncharacterized. The transcript has 3 exons. Lineage: Eukaryota; Metazoa; Arthropoda; Insecta; Hymenoptera; Vespidae. The record is from RefSeq and is a predicted model, not a curated record.
CCAUAUGAACGGAUAAAUUGUUCCGGAAAGUUACUCCCUAUUGGAGAAUGCAAAACAAUAAUACCAUUACACUUCUAAUUAUCUAAUCUAACGUAUAUAAGGUUCCAAAUCAAUUGGUUCCUUAGAAAAUAGGCUAUUGUUCUGCAAAAUAUGUAAGCUUGUUAUCAAACAAUGAAUCUAAAUAGGUUAUUGAAUUAUACAGCCAAUCUCCUAUUGUUUGCUUGGUUUGAUGACAGGAAAACAAAUGAAAAAAUACCUUCCUUAUUAUCAAAAUAAGGCAGGAGUUCUACGUACACACGCACACUCAAUGCAAGCCACUCGAUCUGAUGCCGAUAGACGCGCACCAGAGCACACGUACAUGGAGAGAGAUAAUGGAGAAAGGUUUAAACGAAGGUACUUGAGGAUAAAUAUGGGAGAACGUAUUACGGACAUCCACUAUCACGAAAUUCCUUUCGUAAUAUACUAAAUGGUUUCAUUUUAAUUCCCCUGUGAUCCUUGCCCCGCGUGGAACGUCGGACGGCUCAUCGACAAAUCUUUUUGAGCACAAUCGCUUAUACCCUCCAACUGAAGCAGCUCACGGUUAGAUGCUUUGAAGAAGGAAGGUCCCUCCCAUUUCCCCGUACGAGGGUUCCAAGCUUUAUAAAACAGCGCCAUAUUGGUCUUUCGAAACUUCGUCGUCAAGCACAAUUUUCAACUGCCUCUUGAAACACUCUUCUGCUUCAAUAUGCUCGAAUAAUGUUCCACUAUAGAAAUAUUCUAGUCGCCAUGAUAAAAUCUCUGUAAAAAUUCAAUAAAUUAUUCUACAAUAUACU